This 484-nucleotide ribosomal RNA is filed under the name uncultured bacterium. RNAcentral describes it as "partial 16S ribosomal RNA". It matches the Rfam family "Bacterial small subunit ribosomal RNA", at positions 30 to 507 of the family's 1533-position model. The record is from RNAcentral.
AUUGAACGCUGGCGGCAGGCCUAACACAUGCAAGUCGAGCGGAUGAAGGGAGCUUGCUCCUGGAUUCAGCGGCGGACGGGUGAGUAAUGCCUAGGAAUCUGCCUGGUAGUGGGGGAGAACGUCCGGAAACGGGCGCUAAUACCGCAUACGUCCUGAGUGAGAAAGUGGGGGAUCUUCGGACCUCACGCUAUCAGAUGAGCCUAGGUCGGAUUAGCUAGUUGGUGGGGUAAAGGCCUACCAAGGCGACGAUCCGUAACUGGUCUGAGAGGAUGAUCAGUCACACUGGAACUGAGACACGGUCCAGACUCCUACGGGAGGCAGCAGUGGGGAAUAUUGGACAAUGGGCGAAAGCCUGAUCCAGCCAUGCCGCGUGUGUGAAGAAGGUCUUCGGAUUGUAAAGCACUUUAAGUUGGGAGGAAGGGCAGUAAGUUAAUACCUUGCUGUUUUGACGUUACCAACAGAAUAAGCACCGGCUAACUUCGUG